This 443-nucleotide ribosomal RNA is filed under the name uncultured bacterium. Its description in RNAcentral is "partial 16S ribosomal RNA". It matches the Rfam family "Bacterial small subunit ribosomal RNA", at positions 338 to 795 of the family's 1533-position model. The record is from RNAcentral.
CCCACGUGAGGCAGCAGUGGGGGAUAUUGCACAAUGGGGGGAACCCUGAUGCAGCGACGCCGCGUGGGUGAAGAAGUAUUUCGGUAUGUAAAGCUCUAUCAGCAGGGAAGAAAGAAAUGACGGUACCUGACGAAGAAGCCCCGGCUAACUACGUGCCAGCAGCCGCGGUAAUACGUAGGGGGCAAGCGUUAUCCGGAUUUACUGGGUGUAAAGGGAGCGUGGACGGCGAUGCAAGUCUGAAGUGAAAGGCGGGGGCCCAACCCCCGGACUGCUUUGGAAACUGUAUGGCUGGAGUGCAGGAGAGGUAAGUGGAAUUCCUAGUGUAGCGGUGAAAUGCGUAGAUAUUAGGAGGAACACCAGUGGCGAAGGCGGCUUACUGGACUGUAACUGACGUUGAGGCUCGAAAGCGUGGGGAGCAAACAGGAUUAGAUACCCGAGUAGUC